GGGCCCAUAGCUCAGUUGGUCAGAGCACCCGGCUCAUACCCGGUGUGUCCCAGGUUCGAGUCCUGGUGGGCCCA
RNAcentral lists this transfer RNA (74 nucleotides) under Myxococcales bacterium. Its description in RNAcentral is "tRNA-Met". It matches the Rfam family "tRNA". Rfam says of the family: Transfer RNA (tRNA) molecules are approximately 80 nucleotides in length. Their secondary structure includes four short double-helical elements and three loops (D, anti-codon, and T loops). The record is from RNAcentral. Lineage: Bacteria; Pseudomonadati; Myxococcota; Myxococcia; Myxococcales.